RNAcentral lists this ribosomal RNA (66 nucleotides) under Lipolexis oregmae. Its description in RNAcentral is "partial 28S ribosomal RNA". The record is from RNAcentral. Lineage: Eukaryota; Metazoa; Arthropoda; Insecta; Hymenoptera; Braconidae.
UUUUAUUUUUUAUUUAAAUAAUUAACGACCUCAGAGUAGGUGAGACUACCCCCUAAAUUUAAGCAU